This 73-nucleotide transfer RNA is filed under the name Stegodyphus mimosarum. It matches the Rfam family "tRNA". From Rfam's summary of the family: Transfer RNA (tRNA) molecules are approximately 80 nucleotides in length. Their secondary structure includes four short double-helical elements and three loops (D, anti-codon, and T loops). Further hydrogen bonds mediate the characteristic L-shaped molecular structure. tRNAs have two regions of fundamental functional importance: the anti-codon, which is responsible for specific mRNA codon recognition, and the 3' end, to which the tRNAs corresponding amino acid is attached (by aminoacyl-tRNA synthetases). tRNAs cope with the degeneracy of the genetic code in two manners: having more than one tRNA (with a specific anti-codon) for a particular amino acid; and 'wobble' base-pairing, i.e. permitting non-standard base-pairing at the 3rd anti-codon position. The record is from Rfam by way of RNAcentral. Lineage: Eukaryota; Metazoa; Arthropoda; Arachnida; Araneae; Eresidae.
GCCUUCGUGGUGUAACGGUUAACACACUCGGCGCGGAAUUCGAGAGGUCCAGGUUCGAGCCCGGGAGAGAGCA